GACGAACGCUGGCGGCGUGCUUAACACAUGCAAGUCGAACGGAAAGGCCCUGCUUUUGUGGGGUGCUCGAGUGGCGAACGGGUGAGUAACACGUGAGUAACCUGCCCUUGACUUUGGGAUAACUUCAGGAAACUGGGGCUAAUACCGGAUAGGAGCUCCUGCUGCAUGGUGGGGGUUGGAAAGUUUCGGCGGUUGGGGAUGGACUCGCGGCUUAUGAGCUUGUUGGUGGGGUAGUGGCUUACCAAGGCUUUGACGGGUAGCCGGCCUGGGAGGGUGACCGGCCACAUUGGGACUGAGAUACGGCCCAGACUCCUACGGUAGGCAGCAGUGGGGAAUAUUGCACAAUGGGCGGAAGCCUGAUGCAGCAACGCCGCGUGCGGGAUGACGUCCUUCGGGUUGUAAACCGCUUUCGCCUGUGACGAAGCGUGAGUGACGGUAAUGGGUAAAGAAGCACCGGCUAACUACGUG
This 468-nucleotide ribosomal RNA is filed under the name uncultured bacterium. Its description in RNAcentral is "partial 16S ribosomal RNA". It matches the Rfam family "Bacterial small subunit ribosomal RNA", at positions 28 to 507 of the family's 1533-position model. The record is from RNAcentral.